Molecule: ribosomal RNA, 253 nt
Filed under: uncultured bacterium
Lineage: Bacteria
Description: partial 16S ribosomal RNA
Rfam family: Bacterial small subunit ribosomal RNA
Source: RNAcentral
AACGGGGGAUGCAAGCGUUAUCCGGAAUCACUGGGCGUAAAGCGUCUGUAGGUGGUGAUGCAAGUCACUGGUGCAAAACUCUGGCUCAACCGGAGGAAAGCCAGUGAAACUGCAUGACUAGAGUGUGGGAGAGGUAGAAGGAAUUCCCUGAGUAGCGGUGAAAUGCGUAGAUACAGGGAAGCACACCGGAGGCGAAGGCGUUCUACUGGAACACAACUGACACUGAGAGACGAAAGCUAGGGGAGCGAAUGGG